AUAUGAUCGGAUCUCUCUCUCUCUCUCUCUCUUUUUCUCUCUCACUGGCUGCUCCAUGCAGAAUGGAUUAGAGUGUGGCUGGGCAAAUGGAGAGGUGGUGGGAACAGUGAAAAAGCCUUUGCAGUAGCACAGUCAGGCGAUGACAGUGGCUGGGCCAAGGAGGUGAAGCUGAAAAUGAAAGCAAAUCUGAGUGGGAGGCAGAAGUGAUCCUGUUAACAACAACUGCCCACUCCAGAUGAGAAGAAGUUUUGUGGUGAAGUGAUAAAUCCUGUGCUGUGCAUGUUUGUUUUUCUAUGCUGAGUACCAGGGGAAUGCAGGACAAGGAGAAGGACAUACUUUCUUCCUUCAGAGAGCUACCAGAGGAGAAAUGACAGUGUCUAUUAGGAACUGGCCUUAGAAUCUCCCAGGUUGAUGAGACUUGCUUAAGUAACAACCUUAGUGGGAAAAUGCCAGUGGAAUUUCAUGAGUAUGACUGGCAGUGCCUGCGAGGAGGAGAGCUGCGAGGAGGAGAAGGAUGAGAUACUUUUGGUUAGAUGCAGAAAUAGCAGCUCAGAGAGGCAAGUGACCUGCCCAAGGCCCCAGGAACCAGGUCUAGAGGGACCCUGGUGUGUCUUUGCCUGAGAGAUGGAGCUGUCUGUUCCCGGCAUGGCCUGGAGGGGAAGAAGACCGUGGAAGGGAGAGGGCAGGGAGCUGCCUCACCUGCUAACUCUUCUCGAUUGAACCAGCUCUUCGCUUGGGAAUUUGACUGCAAUAUGACUUCUCAGGACACCAGACAUCCUAGCCUUAAAGAGGGCACAGGUACAUUUUCCUAGGCCAAAUUAAUAUGGAUUUUGAAUUAUCUCCUGUUGUUCAGAAAGAUCCUCCCUGCAUUGGUGGUUUUGACAUUUCCCAGGCUCCAAGAGCCAUGGAUCUCCUCUGAGAGCUGCACUGGAGAAGGUUCUGAAAGUCUUCUUUACAUCUCUAACCAGACAGGUCCUUAGGAAACUCCUCCAGCAAGCACUGACCCCUUCACAGCCAGUCCUGUGUCGGACUCUGAGGUAAAGACACCACCCAGUUGCUGCCCUCAGAAUCAACCUAGCCCUUGCUUCUCUCACAAGAGUGAAACUUGGAGGCAUUAAUAUAUAUUUUUGUUCUGCAAAACUUUAAAGAAUAAAACAUUAGAAAUAAAACUAUAACAAUCAUCCAUGUGCCUGCCACCCAGAUUUAUUGUUUUUUAAAGAAGUAAAACAUAAAUAUAGUUAAAAUUCCUUGUGUAUCCCUCCCAGUCCCAAUCCUCCCUCAGAGGCAAGCACUGUGGUGAAGCUUGUUACUGUUCUACAUGUAUUUCACAGUUUUAUUAUAUAUUCAUAUGCACAUAGCACAUAAACUUAAAAGACAUAAACUCAUACUGUAUAUAAAUUAAAUUUUACACUUAAUAUAAAUAUAAUUUAUAUAUUACACAUUACAAAAAGUUGUUUAUGUACUGCAUAAGCUUUACAUUUAAAUAUUAUACUUAGUCAAAAAUAAACUAUAUAUUUACAUAAAUAUAAACUAACAUUUAUAUACCGUAUGUCUAACAUUAACGUUUAUACUGUGUAUAGUGUGUAUAAAUUAAAAUGUACAAAAUUAGCUUCAAACCCUUCACAUAAUGAUGGUCUAACUUGCCUUUUGUCCAACACAAUAUAUUUUUAUUUCUAUUCAUUUUGAUGCAUCUUGAUUCCCUUCAUUCAUUCCAACUGCAGUGGAGUUUUCCAUUAUUGGAAUAUGUCACAAAUAAUUUAUGACUGUCCUAUGAUUUGCAAAGUACACUUGUUUGAAAUUUCCUAUGACUACAAACAAUGCUGCCACACAUUCUGUGGCUGUUUUCUUGUGUACACAUGCGAGUGAUUUUAGGACAGAUACAUAGAAGUGGAUGCUUCCCCUUUACCAGGUAUUGUCAGUUGUUUUUAAAAGAUGUCUGCGUGUGCACUGUCACACCAGCAGCAUAAGAGGCUCCUAUUUCUCUGCAUUCUUGCUGCCACCAGGCCAUGUUGAUCUUGAACUUUGUUGUUAAUUGGAUGGAAGUGAAAUGGUAUCUCAUUGGUGUUUCACUUGUUUCCCGACUAUUCAUGAAGUUGACAAUCUUUUCAUGGAUAUUGACCCUCCGGGUUUCUGCUUCUGUGAAAUGCCUUUUCAUAGUUUUUGCCUAUUUUUCUCUCUUGGGUUAUUUAUCUUUCCCUUAUUAAUCUGUAGGAGUUCUUAAAAUAUUCAGGUUUUUAAUCCUUUGUUGGUUGUGAGCAUUCACCAUGCUUCUCCUGGUCUGUGACUUGUCUUUGAAUUUUGUUUAUAAUGU
Molecule: long non-coding RNA, 2311 nt
Filed under: Homo sapiens (human)
Lineage: Eukaryota; Metazoa; Chordata; Mammalia; Primates; Hominidae
Description: HSALNT0038479
Source: RNAcentral